UACGGGGGGGGCAAGCGUUGUUCGGAAUUACUGGGCGUAAAGGGCUCGUAGGCGGCCAACUAAGUCAGACGUGAAAUCCCUCGGCUUAACCGGGGAACUGCGUCCGAUACUGGCAGGCUUGAAUCCGGGAGAGGGAUGCGGAAUUCCAGGUGUAGCGGUGAAAUGCGUAGAUAUCUGGAGGAACACCGGUGGCGAAGGCGGCAUCCUGGACCGGCAUUGACGCUAAAGCGCGAAAGCCAGGGGAGCGAACGGG
Molecule: ribosomal RNA, 253 nt
Filed under: uncultured bacterium
Lineage: Bacteria
Description: partial 16S ribosomal RNA
Rfam family: Bacterial small subunit ribosomal RNA
Source: RNAcentral